This 965-nucleotide ribosomal RNA is filed under the name Escherichia coli. Its description in RNAcentral is "partial 23S ribosomal RNA". It matches the Rfam family "Bacterial large subunit ribosomal RNA", at positions 247 to 1251 of the family's 2925-position model. The record is from RNAcentral. Lineage: Bacteria; Pseudomonadati; Pseudomonadota; Gammaproteobacteria; Enterobacterales; Enterobacteriaceae.
CGGCGAGCGAACGGGGAGCAGCCCAGAGCCUGAAUCAGUGUGUGUGUUAGUGGAAGCGUCUGGAAAGGCGCGCGAUACAGGGUGACAGCCCCGUACACAAAAAUGCACAUGCUGUGAGCUCGAUGAGUAGGGCGGGACACGUGGUAUCCUGUCUGAAUAUGGGGGGACCAUCCUCCAAGGCUAAAUACUCCUGACUGACCGAUAGUGAACCAGUACCGUGAGGGAAAGGCGAAAAGAACCCCGGCGAGGGGAGUGAAAAAGAACCUGAAACCGUGUACGUACAAGCAGUGGGAGCACGCUUAGGCGUGUGACUGCGUACCUUUUGUAUAAUGGGUCAGCGACUUAUAUUCUGUAGCAAGGUUAACCGAAUAGGGGAGCCGAAGGGAAACCGAGUCUUAACUGGGCGUUAAGUUGCAGGGUAUAGACCCGAAACCCGGUGAUCUAGCCAUGGGCAGGUUGAAGGUUGGGUAACACUAACUGGAGGACCGAACCGACUAAUGUUGAAAAAUUAGCGGAUGACUUGUGGCUGGGGGUGAAAGGCCAAUCAAACCGGGAGAUAGCUGGUUCUCCCCGAAAGCUAUUUAGGUAGCGCCUCGUGAAUUCAUCUCCGGGGGUAGAGCACUGUUUCGGCAAGGGGGUCAUCCCGACUUACCAACCCGAUGCAAACUGCGAAUACCGGAGAAUGUUAUCACGGGAGACACACGGCGGGUGCUAACGUCCGUCGUGAAGAGGGAAACAACCCAGACCGCCAGCUAAGGUCCCAAAGUCAUGGUUAAGUGGGAAACGAUGUGGGAAGGCCCAGACAGCCAGGAUGUUGGCUUAGAAGCAGCCAUCAUUUAAAGAAAGCGUAAUAGCUCACUGGUCGAGUCGGCCUGCGCGGAAGAUGUAACGGGGCUAAACCAUGCACCGAAGCUGCGGCAGCGACGCUGAUGCGUUGUUGGGUAGGGGAGCGUUCUGUAAGCCUG